RNAcentral lists this ribosomal RNA (465 nucleotides) under uncultured Klebsiella sp. RNAcentral describes it as "bacterial SSU rRNA". It matches the Rfam family "Bacterial small subunit ribosomal RNA", at positions 338 to 795 of the family's 1533-position model. The record is from RNAcentral. Lineage: Bacteria; Pseudomonadati; Pseudomonadota; Gammaproteobacteria; Enterobacterales; Enterobacteriaceae.
CCUACGGGAGGCAGCAGUGGGGAAUAUUGCACAAUGGGCGCAAGCCUGAUGCAGCCAUGCCGCGUGUGUGAAGAAGGCCUUCGGGUUGUAAAGCACUUUCAGCGGGGAGGAAGGCGGUGAGGUUAAUAACCUCAUCGAUUGACGUUACCCGCAGAAGAAGCACCGGCUAACUCCGUGCCAGCAGCCGCGGUAAUACGGGGGGUGCAAGCGUUAAUCGGAAUUACUGGGCGUAAAGCGCACGCAGGCGGUCUGUCGAGUCGGAUGUGAAAUCCCCGGGCUCAACCUGGGAACUGCAUUCGAAACUGGCAGGCUAGAGUCUUGUAGAGGGGGGUAGAAUUCCAGGUGUAGCGGUGAAAUGCGUAGAGAUCUGGAGGAAUACCGGUGGCGAAGGCGGCCCCCUGGACAAAGACUGACGCUCAGGUGCGAAAGCGUGGGGAGCAAACAGGAUUAGAUACCCUAGUAGUC